UAAUAAUAAAUAAUAAUAAUAUAAAUAAUAUAUGCCAUUUAGCUGACGCUUUUAUCCAAAGCGACUUACAGUCAUGUGUGCAUACAUUCUACGUAUGGGUGGUCCCGGGAAUCGAACCCACUACCCUGGCGUUACAAGCGCCAUGCUCUACCAACUGAGCCACAGAAGGACCACUUCUACUUUCUAUUGGCGCUAAUACAACUCAGCUACAGGUGGGAGACUUUCUAUUGGCGCUAAUACAACUCAGCUACAGGUGGGAUACUUUCUAUUGGCGCUAAUACAACUCAGCUACAGGUGGGAUACUUUCUAUUGGCGCUAAUACAACUCAGCUACAGGUGGGAUACUUUCUAUUGGCGCUAAUACAACUCAGCUACAGGUGGGAUACUUUCUAUUGGCGCUAAUACAACUCAGCUACAGGUGGGAUACUUUCUAUUGGCGCUAAUACAACUCAGCUACAGGUGGGAUACUUUCUAUUGGCGCUAAUACAACUCAGCUACAGGUGGGAUACUUUCUAUUGGCGCUAAUACAACUCAGCUACAGGUGGGAUACUUUCUAUUGGCGCUAAUACAACUCAGCUACAGGUGGGAUACUUUCUAUUGGCGCUAAUACAACUCAGCUACAGGUGGGAUACUUUCUAUUGGCGCUAAUACAACUCAGCUACAGGUGGGAUACUUUCUAUUGGCGCUAAUACAACUCAGCUACAGGUGGGAUACUUUCUAUUGGCGCUAAUACAACUCAGCUACAGGUGGGAUACUUUCUAUUGGCGCUAAUACAACUCAGCUACAGGUGGGAUACUUUCUAUUGGCGCUAAUACAACUCAGCUACAGGUGGGAUACUUUCUAUUGGCGCUAAUACAACUCAGCUACAGGUGGGAUACUUUCUAUUGGCGCUAAUACAACUCAGCUACAGGUGGGAUACUUUCUAUUGGCGCUAAUACAACUCAGCUACAGGUGGGAUACUUUCUAUUGGCUCUAAUACAACUCAGCUACAGGUGGGGUACUUUCUAUUGGCUCUAAUACAACUCAGCUACAGGUGGGAUACUUUCUAUUGGCGCUAAUACAACUCAGCUACAGGUGGGAUACUUUCUAUUGGCACUAAUACAACUCAGCUACAGGUGGGAUACUUUCUAUUGGCGCUAAUACAACUCAGCUACAGGUGGGAUACUUUCUAUUGGCGCUAAUACAACUCAGCUACAGGUGGGAUACUUUCUAUUGGCGCUAAUACAACUCAGCUACAGGUGGGAUACUUUCUAUUGGCGCUAAUACAACUCAGCUACAGGUGGGAUACUUUCUAUUGGCACUAAUACAACUCAGCUACAGGUGGGAUACUUUCUAUUGGCGCUAAUACAACUCAGCUACAGGUGGGAUACUUUCU
Molecule: long non-coding RNA, 1374 nt
Organism: Oncorhynchus keta (chum salmon)
Lineage: Eukaryota; Metazoa; Chordata; Actinopteri; Salmoniformes; Salmonidae
Exons: 3
Source: RefSeq, a predicted model, not a curated record